Molecule: transfer RNA, 73 nt
Filed under: Marmota monax (woodchuck)
Lineage: Eukaryota; Metazoa; Chordata; Mammalia; Rodentia; Sciuridae
Description: tRNA.Pro
Source: RNAcentral
GGGGAUGUGGCUCAAGCGGUAGAGUGCUUACCUGGGAUGAACGCGGCCCUGGGUUCGAUCCUCAGCAUCAUGU